GUGCCAGCCGCCGCGGUAAUACGGAAGGUCCGGGCGUUAUCCGGAUUUAUUGGGUUUAAAGGGAGCGCAGGCGGUCCUUUAAGCGUGACGUGAAAUGCAGGCGCCCAACGUCUGACGUGCGUCGCGAACUGGUGGACUUGAGUGCACUGGAGGUAUGCGGAAUUCGUGGUGUAGCGGUGAAAUGCUUAGAUAUCACGAAGAACCCCGAUUGCGAAGGCAGCAUGCCGUAGUGUUACUGACGCUCAUGCUCGAAAGCGCGGGUAUCGAACAGGAUUAGAUACCCUGGUAGUCCGCGCGGUAAACGAUGGAUGCCCGCUGUUGGGGUAUUAUAUUCCAGCGGCCAAGCGAAAGCAUUAAGCAUCCCACCUGGGGAGUACGCCGGCAACGGUGAAACUCAAAGGAAUUGACGGGGGCCCGCACAAGCGGAGGAACAUGUGGUUUAAUUCGAUGAUACGCGAGGAACCUUACCCGGGCUUGAACUGCAGCGGAAGGAUACAGAGAUGUUGACGCCCUUCGGGGCCGCUGCGGAGGUGCUGCAUGGUUGUCGUCAGCUCGUGCCGUGAGGUGUCGGCUUAAGUGCCAUAACGAGCGCAACCCCUGUCGUCAGUUGCCAUCAGGUAGAGCUGGGCACUCUGGCGAUACUGCCACCGUAAGUGCGAGGAAGGUGGGGAUGACGUCAAAUCAGCACGGCCCUUACGUCCGGGGCUACACACGUGUUACAAUGGCGCGCACAGCAAGCCGGUGCAUGGCGACAUGCAUCCAAUCCUGAAACCGCGCCGUAGUUCGGAUUGGGUCUGCAACCCGACCCCAUGAAGCUGGAUUCGCUAGUAAUCGCGCAUCAGCCAUGGGCGCGGUGAAUACGUUCCCGGGCCUUGUACACACCGCCCGU
Molecule: ribosomal RNA, 889 nt
Filed under: uncultured bacterium
Lineage: Bacteria
Description: bacterial SSU rRNA
Rfam family: Bacterial small subunit ribosomal RNA
Source: RNAcentral